RNAcentral lists this ribosomal RNA (466 nucleotides) under uncultured Alphaproteobacteria bacterium. RNAcentral's name for it is "bacterial SSU rRNA". It matches the Rfam family "Bacterial small subunit ribosomal RNA", at positions 9 to 521 of the family's 1533-position model. The record is from RNAcentral. Lineage: Bacteria; Pseudomonadati; Pseudomonadota; Alphaproteobacteria.
GAGUUUGAUCCUGGCUCAGAACGAACGCUGGCGGCAUGCCUAACACAUGCAAGUCGAACGAGACCUUCGGGUCUAGUGGCGCACGGGUGCGUAACGCGUGGGAAUCUGCCCUUCGGUUCGGAAUAACUCAGGGAAACUUGAGCUAAUACCGGAUAAUGACUUCGGUCCAAAGAUUUAUCGCCGAGGGAUGAGCCCGCGUAGGAUUAGCUUGUUGGUGAGGUAAAGGCUCACCAAGGCGACGAUCCUUAGCUGGUCUGAGAGGAUGAUCAGCCACACUGGGACUGAGACACGGCCCAGACUCCUACGGGAGGCAGCAGUGGGGAAUAUUGGACAAUGGGCGAAAGCCUGAUCCAGCAAUGCCGCGUGAGUGAUGAAGGCCUUAGGGUUGUAAAGCUCUUUUACCCGGGAUGAUAAUGACAGUACCGGGAGAAUAAGCCCCGGCUAACUCCGUGCCAGCCGCCGCGGU